Molecule: transfer RNA, 104 nt
Filed under: Bradyrhizobium sp. NC92
Lineage: Bacteria; Pseudomonadati; Pseudomonadota; Alphaproteobacteria; Hyphomicrobiales; Nitrobacteraceae
Description: tRNA-Arg
Source: RNAcentral
AGCUAACUUGGUCAAAUAAAUCGCAGAAGGUCGCCGCCAACAGUCGAGUGAGCGUUGCCCUCCGAAGGCAAAGGUCACACGUUCGAAUCGUGUCGGGUGCGCCA